This 358-nucleotide ribosomal RNA is filed under the name Salmonella enterica subsp. enterica serovar Agona. Its description in RNAcentral is "partial 23S ribosomal RNA". It matches the Rfam family "Bacterial large subunit ribosomal RNA", at positions 834 to 1190 of the family's 2925-position model. The record is from RNAcentral. Lineage: Bacteria; Pseudomonadati; Pseudomonadota; Gammaproteobacteria; Enterobacterales; Enterobacteriaceae.
CAAACCGGGAGAUAGCUGGUUCUCCCCGAAAGCUAUUUAGGUAGCGCCUCGUGAAUUCAUCUCCGGGGGUAGAGCACUGUUUCGGCUAGGGGGCCAUCCCGGCUUACCAACCCGAUGCAAACUGCGAAUACCGGAGAAUGUUAUCACGGGAGACACACGGCGGGUGCUAACGUCCGUCGUGAAGAGGGAAACAACCCAGACCGCCAGCUAAGGUCCCAAAGUCAUGGUUAAGUGGGAAACGAUGUGGGAAGGCCCAGACAGCCAGGAUGUUGGCUUAGAAGCAGCCAUCAUUUAAAGAAAGCGUAAUAGCUCACUGGUCGAGUCGGCCUGCGCGGAAGAUGUAACGGGGCUAAACCAU